GCCCGGUUAGCUCAAUCGGUAGAGCGUGAGACUCUUAAUCUCAAGGUUGCGGGUAAGUUCUUUACAUCAUCUGCCA
Non-coding RNA from Hypoxylon fragiforme, 76 nucleotides. Lineage: Eukaryota; Fungi; Ascomycota; Sordariomycetes; Xylariales; Hypoxylaceae. The record is from the annotation of a RefSeq genome assembly.